UUAAAUUGAAGAGUUUGAUCAUGGCUCAGAUUGAACGCUGGCGGCAGGCCUAACACAUGCAAGUCGAACGGUGAUGAAA
Molecule: ribosomal RNA, 79 nt
Filed under: Escherichia coli
Lineage: Bacteria; Pseudomonadati; Pseudomonadota; Gammaproteobacteria; Enterobacterales; Enterobacteriaceae
Description: partial 16S ribosomal RNA
Rfam family: Bacterial small subunit ribosomal RNA
Source: RNAcentral